GACUGCGUAGCUCAGCUGGCAGAGCAUUGGGCUAGUAUUCCAAAGGUCGUAGGUUCAAUUCCCACCGUGGCCA
This 73-nucleotide transfer RNA is filed under the name Paramuricea clavata. It matches the Rfam family "tRNA". From Rfam's summary of the family: Transfer RNA (tRNA) molecules are approximately 80 nucleotides in length. Their secondary structure includes four short double-helical elements and three loops (D, anti-codon, and T loops). Lineage: Eukaryota; Metazoa; Cnidaria; Anthozoa; Malacalcyonacea; Plexauridae. The record is from Rfam by way of RNAcentral.